This 253-nucleotide ribosomal RNA is filed under the name uncultured bacterium. Its description in RNAcentral is "partial 16S ribosomal RNA". It matches the Rfam family "Bacterial small subunit ribosomal RNA", at positions 524 to 776 of the family's 1533-position model. The record is from RNAcentral.
AACGUAGGUUCCGAGCGUUAUCCGGAUUUACUGGGCGUAAAGCGCGUUCAGGCGGUUUGGCAAGUCGGGCAUGAAAUCUCUCGGCUCAACCGGGAGAGGUUGUCCGAUACUGCUGGACUUGAGGGCAGUAGAGGGUGGUGGAAUUCCGGGUGUAGUGGUGAAAUGCGUAGAUAUCCGGAGGAACACCGGUGGCGAAGGCGGCCUGCUGGGCAGUAGCUGACGCUGAAGCGCGACAGCGUGGGGAGCAAACAGG